AUCGUACCAAAGAAUAGGGUGAGGGAUCCUUACCCGGAUCGGUGUUUCGAGAUGUCGAGCUAUCUACUACGCCUCUUAACAGGUACCGAGUUCUUUAAAAUUUUCCUAUGGAAUUCAAAACACUUAUCACACACCUUAAAGUACCCCAAAAAUCCAAAAUCAGUGUCCAAAACUCAUUUCGACCAAUUUUGGUGUUCCAGCUUGACGACACCGCUAGCU
RNAcentral lists this long non-coding RNA (219 nucleotides) under Carica papaya (papaya). RNAcentral describes it as "long non-coding RNA (CPAP_LNC009557)". Lineage: Eukaryota; Viridiplantae; Streptophyta; Magnoliopsida; Brassicales; Caricaceae. The record is from RNAcentral.